GGGUCAGUAGGUUGGUCGUGCCACCGGUACGUACUGGUCUCACUGAUUCCUCCUUCCUGAAGAACCGUAAUGCCAUUAAUUUGGUGUUGCGGGGAAACAGGACUGUUACUUUGAAAAAAUUAGAGUGUUUAAAGCAAGCUAACGCUUGAAUACAUUAGCAUGGAAUAAUGAAAUAGGACGAUCGAUCCCAUUUUGUUGGUCUCUAGGAUUGACGUA
This 216-nucleotide ribosomal RNA is filed under the name Glomeromycotina sp. RNAcentral describes it as "partial small subunit ribosomal RNA". The stretch from base 44 to 216 matches the Rfam family "Eukaryotic small subunit ribosomal RNA", at positions 690 to 864 of the family's 1831-position model. The record is from RNAcentral. Lineage: Eukaryota; Fungi; Glomeromycota.